Molecule: transfer RNA, 91 nt
Filed under: Ruminococcus sp.
Lineage: Bacteria; Bacillati; Bacillota; Clostridia; Eubacteriales; Oscillospiraceae
Description: tRNA-Ser
Rfam family: tRNA
About the family: Transfer RNA (tRNA) molecules are approximately 80 nucleotides in length.
Source: RNAcentral
GGAGACGUAGCGAAGUGGUCAUAACGAGCCUGACUCGAAAUCAGGUUGCCCCUCAAAAGGCACGUGGGUUCAAAUCCCACCGUCUCCGCCA